Molecule: long non-coding RNA, 283 nt
Organism: Ailuropoda melanoleuca (giant panda)
Lineage: Eukaryota; Metazoa; Chordata; Mammalia; Carnivora; Ursidae
Exons: 3
Source: RefSeq, a predicted model, not a curated record
UGAUGACUGAAUGGGUCCUGGGAAUAAACAGCCUCGACGAGGAGCCAUCCACUCUGCGAAUGUCAGCUUCUUACGUUCUCUUCCCAGGGCCUCCACUCCUGUUGUCACGCCUUCUUUUUCCCCACGCCCACCAUCUGGAAGUCAGCAUUACACGGCAGGAGCCUCUCCAUCCACAUCUGCUGCGGAGACGGAAGUAACACAGACAGCUGCAACACGGCUGGAUAUCCAGGGCGCCGAUAUCAGAGAGAGAGAAAGCGCGAGCACAAGCAGGGGGAGCAGCAGA